AUUUAACCUCAAAUCAGGUAAGAAUACCCGCUGAACUUAAGCAUAUCAAUAAGCGGAGGAAAAGAAAAUAACAAUGAUUCCCUUAGUAACUGCGAGUGAAGAGGGACAAGCUCAAAUUUUAAAUCUGUUAGGUUCAUCUAACCGAGUUGUAAUUUGAAGAGGCGUUUUCUGCGUUUUUGAUCAGUCCAAGUCCUUUGGAAUAAGGCAUCAUGGAGGGUGAGAAUCCCGUUCGGUUGAUCAAAUUUGCUUUAUGAUACGUCAUCUAAGAGUCAAGUUGUUUGGGAUUGCAGCUUAAAAUGGGAGGUAAAUUUCUCCUAAGGCUAAAUAACGGCGAGAGACCGAUAGCGAACAAGUACCGUGAGGGAAAGAUGAAAAGUACUUUGAAAAGAGAGUUAAAUAGCACGUGAAAUUGUUGAAAGGGAAACGAUUGAAGCCAGUCGUACCUGCGGACAAUCAGCCUUUCGGGUGCGAUUAUGUGGAGCGUGGGGAGCUAAACACCUUCAUGCCUGCGUAUUUGUAUUCUGGGGUGUACUUGGACGUGCGGUAGGUUAACAUCAAUUUCGGACGUCAUAAAAUGGCUGGAGGAAUGUAGCUUCGGUCUCGUACUGAAGUGUUAUAGCCUUCGGCAGAUAUGGUGACCGGGAUUGAGGAUUGCAACGGAUACCUUUUGGGCUACCCGCCUGAUCUCUGAAAGUUGCUCUGGUGCCGAAAGCUUGCUUACGGUUAUCAAAGUUGACGUUCAAAAGGUUAGAACGGGUUAAAUUCGUUAAGGAUGUUGACGUAAUGGCUUUAAACGACCCGUCUUGAAACACGGACCAAGGAGUCUAACAUAUAUGCGAGUG
Molecule: ribosomal RNA, 842 nt
Filed under: Rhizophagus intraradices
Lineage: Eukaryota; Fungi; Glomeromycota; Glomeromycetes; Glomerales; Glomeraceae
Description: eukaryotic LSU rRNA
Rfam family: Eukaryotic large subunit ribosomal RNA
Source: RNAcentral